AUGCAGCAGCCGCAGCAGCACAGGACGGCCAUGCGGAGGGACGGCGAGAGGGACCACCGGAGGGCGGCGGCCGAGAGGCCAGCCGCCCACCGGACGGAGAGGGCGGCGGCGGACGAGACGGCCCAUCGGAGGGCGGCCGAGGCGCCCCCCCGCCGGACGGAGAGGGCGGCCGAGGUGCUGCCCGCCGCCCACAGGACCGAGAGGGCGGGCGAGACGGCGGCCACCGCCCGGAGAGCGGCGGAGAUGCCCGCCCGCCGGACGGAGAGGAAGAAGAGCCUGGAGAGCCUCCUGGACGCCGCGGACGUGCGGGGGAAGCGCGGCGGCCCCGUGCCGGCCGUCGGCGAGAAGAUCACCACCUUCCCCGGCCAGGGCCUCGAGUUCAAGAACCUGUCCUACAGCGUCAUUAAGAAGCAGAAGAAGGACGGGGUCAAGAUCAAGAAGGAGGUGUACCUGCUCAACGACAUUUCCGGGCAGGCCCUCCGCGGCCAGGUCACCGCCAUCCUCGGCCCCAGCGGCGCCGGCAAGUCCACUUUCCUCGACGCCAUUGCCGGACGGAUCGCCAAGGGGAGCCUCGAAGGGUCUGUCAGCAUCGACGGACGACCUGUCACCACGAGCUACAUGAAGCAGAUUUCCUCUUACGUGAUGCAAGACGAUCAGCUGUUUCCCAUGCUUACGGUGCUGGAGACGCUCACAUUUGCAGCUGAGGUCAGGCUCCCGCCAUCCCUCUCAAGGGCUGAGAAGCUCAAGAGGGUGUGGGAACUCAUUGAGCAGCUUGGUCUGCAGACAACAGCUCACACAUACAUUGGGGACGAAGGGGUGCGAGGGGUCUCUGGCGGGGAACGCCGCAGAGUGUCGAUAGGCACAGACAUCAUCCAUAAGCCAUCUCUGCUGUUUCUCGACGAACCAACCUCCGGCCUCGACUCCACUAGUGCACACAGUGUGGUGGAGAAAGUGAAGGAUAUCGCAAGAGGAGGAAGCAUUGUGCUCAUGACUAUCCAUCAACCAUCUUUCAGGAUACAGAUGCUUCUUGACAGAAUUGUCAUCCUUGCAAGAGGGCGACUGAUCUAUCUAGGCAACCCAACCACACUUCCCACAUACCUUGCUGGAUUCGGCCGGCCAGUACCUGAGGGUGAGAACAGCAUGGAAUAUCUACUGGAUGUCAUCAAGGAGUACGAUGAAUCAACACUGGGACUUGAGCCUCUGGUUGCAUACCAGAGGGAUGGCAGCAAACCCACUGAAGCUGCGAAGACUCCGGUGCCGAGAACACCAAGGACACCAUACCAGAAGUCAGUCCAGUUCAGGCAAAUGCAACUCAAAAGCAACCAGUUUUCACUUGCAAGCGCAACGCCUCAUGCAAACCCCUUCUCAAACUUUGAGUCCUACAAUAUUGAUGACGAGGAGGGUGAUUUCGACAAUUCUCUUGAGAGAAAAAUACAGACACCCAUGCACACUGCAAACUCGGGCUACCAUCCAAGAUUAGCUUCACAGUUCUACAAAGAUUUCUCAGUCUGGGUUUACAAUGGUGUCGCAGGGACACCGCAGCGCAGGCCUACUUGGACUCCAGCUCGAACACCAGCAAGGACCCCAAUGUCAAGCUACCAGCGAAGCCGUGUGAAUACGCCGCACAGGUCAAUUCCUCCAUCUCCCCAAGAACCAGUGUUCAAGCCAGAAGAGCCAGACUAUGAGGAGCAGGGGCUUGAUAUUGAGCCACUAGAUGCACCAGAGGACGGGCCAAAGUUCGCCAAUCCUUGGCUCAGGGAGGUGGCUGUACUUUCAUGGCGUACCGCACUGAAUGUCGUGCGCACACCGGAGUUGUUCCUCUCUCGUGAGAUUGUGCUCACGGUCAUGGCACUCAUCCUCUCGACGCUGUUCCAUCGCCUCAGCGGUUCUGAUUUCCUGACCAUCAACCGCAUCCUCAACUUCUACAUCUUUGCAGUCUGCCUCGUCUUCUUCUCCUCGAAUGAUGCAGUCCCGACAUUCAUCCAGGAGCGCUUCAUCUUCAUCCGCGAGAGGUCACACAAUGCAUACCGUGCUUCGACAUACGUGAUCUCCUCCCUCAUUGUCUACCUUCCCUUCUUCGCCAUCCAGGGCUUCACCUUUGCGGUGAUCACGAAGUUCAUGCUCCAUCUGAAUAGCAGCUUGCUCUACUUCUGGAUCGUCCUCUUUGCAUCGCUCAUCACAACAAAUGCCUAUGUGAUGCUGGUGAGUGCGCUUGUUCCGAGCUACAUCACUGGCUAUGCCGUCGUGAUUGCAACGACAGCGCUCUUCUUCCUCACCUGCGGAUUCUUUCUGAAGCGGAACAAGAUCCCUAUUUACUGGAGAUGGCUUCACUACAUCUCCGCAAUCAAGUACCCGUUUGAGGCCUUGCUCGUCAACGAGUUCAAAGGCAGCCAUUGCUACACUGGCACAUUCAAUCAGCUGUCCCCAGGACCUCUGGGAGAAAUCAAGGAAAGUGGCCUUCAUGAUCAACUGAACCCAAACAUCACAACAUGCCCCUUGAUAGGCCAGGAUGUGCUCACCUCCAUGGAUAUCACAAUGGACAGCAUCUGGGUUGAUGUUGCAAUCCUCCUUGCCUGGGGUGUGCUCUAUCGGCUCUUCUUCUAUGUGGUCCUGAGAUUCUACUCCAAGAAUGAGAGGAAGUAA
Molecule: ribosomal RNA, 2643 nt
Filed under: Triticum aestivum (bread wheat)
Lineage: Eukaryota; Viridiplantae; Streptophyta; Magnoliopsida; Poales; Poaceae
Description: partial small subunit ribosomal RNA
Source: RNAcentral